RNAcentral lists this long non-coding RNA (6481 nucleotides) under Homo sapiens (human). RNAcentral's name for it is "SPICE1-CFAP44 readthrough (NMD candidate), transcript variant 10 (SPICE1-CFAP44)". The record is from RNAcentral. Lineage: Eukaryota; Metazoa; Chordata; Mammalia; Primates; Hominidae.
AACCUGUGGCGCGCUCCGCGGUUCCGGCGCCUGAAGUUUUAGCUGCGGUGGCGGCGGCAGUCGGGACCGACUGCAAGGCAGGUUGAGAUGAUGGAUCUGAGGCUUGCAGCUCGCAGUCCCAACGAGCCUUAGGGACCAGGGCUACCAAAAGGGUGGGGAGAACGGUGGUGGCAUCUGUCUGUUGCCUGGGAUCCAGGCGCCCGGUUGGGGAAUCCUUACUUCAGGAAGCGCAGCCGCGGCUCUGUGUUUUGAGAGUGCAAAUGUCAUUUGUCAGAGUGAACCGCUGUGGUCCCCGAGUUGGUGUAAGAAAGACACCGAAAGUAAAGAAGAAGAAAACUUCAGUGAAACAAGAAUGGGAUAAUACCGUGACUGAUCUAACCGUUCAUCGGGCAACUCCCGAAGAUCUGGUACGCCGUCAUGAAAUACACAAAUCGAAGAAUAGAGCAUUAGUACACUGGGAACUCCAAGAAAAAGCUUUGAAGAGAAAAUGGAGGAAGCAGAAACCAGAAACUUUAAAUCUUGAGAAAAGAAGAUUGUCUAUCAUGAAGGAGAUUCUUUCUGAUCAAUACCAGAUGCAAGAUGUGUUGGAGAAAUCUGAUCAUCUAAUAGCUGCAGCAAAAGAGCUGUUUCCUCGUAGGCGCACAGGGUUUCCAAAUGUAACAGUGGCUCCUGAUUCCUCUCAGGGUCCCAUUGUGGUAAAUCAAGACCCUAUCACCCAAUCUAUCUUUAAUGAGUCUGUCAUAGAACCUCAGGCUCUUAAUGAUGUAGAUGGUGAAGAAGAAGGAACUGUUAAUAGCCAGUCAGGAGAAAGUGAGAAUGAGAAUGAGUUGGAUAACUCUCUAAACUCUCAGUCUAACACGAAUACAGACAGGUUUCUCCAACAACUAACAGAAGAGAAUUUUGAGUUAAUUAGUAAGUUGUGGACUGACAUUCAGCAGAAAAUAGCAACCCAGUCACAAAUAACUCCUCCAGGAACGCCAUCAUCUGCUCUUUCAUCAGGGGAGCAAAGAGCUGCUCUGAAUGCUACCAAUGCUGUCAAGAGACUCCAAACCAGGCUUCAGCCUGAAGAAUCUACUGAGACUCUAGACUCAAGCUACGUUGUGGGACACGUGCUGAACUCAAGGAAGCAAAAACAGCUGUUAAAUAAAGUGAAAAGGAAACCGAAUUUGCAUGCUCUUUCCAAGCCGAAGAAAAACAUAUCAUCAGGUAGCACAACCUCUGCAGACUUACCAAAUAGGACUAAUUCCAACCUGGAUGUCCUCAAACACAUGAUACAUGAAGUGGAACAUGAAAUGGAAGAAUAUGAGCGGUGGACAGGUCGCGAGGUCAAGGGUCUGCAGAGCAGUCAGGGUCUUACAGGCUUCACUUUGUCGCUGGUGAGCUCCCUCUGUCGCCUGGUUCGGUACCUUAAAGAGAGUGAGAUCCAGCUACGUAAAGAAGUAGAGACAAGGCAACAACUGGAACAAGUAUUAGGUGAUCAUCGAGAGCUCAUUGAUGCUCUGACAGCUGAAAUUCUUCGUCUUAGAGAAGAAAACGCUGCUACACAGGCAAGACUUCAGCAGUACAUGGUCACAACAGAUGAGCAACUGAUAUCACUCACACAUGCUAUUAAGAACUGUCCUGUGAUAAAUAACAGACAAGAAAUUCAGGCAUCAGAAAGCGGAGCCACAGGUAGAAGAGUUAUGGACAGUCCAGAGCGUCCAGUUGUAAAUGCCAAUGUCUCAGUGCCAUUGAUGUUCAGAGAGGAAGUGGCUGAAUUCCCACAGGAAGAGUUGCCCGUUAAACUGUCUCAGGUGCCAGACCCUCCAGAUAACAUGAAUCUGGCCAAGAAUUUUCCAGCACAUAUUUUUGAGCCAGCUGUGUUGUUAACACCACCCAGGCAGAAGAGCAACUUAAAAUUCUCUCCUCUUCAGGACGUAUUGAGAAGGACUGUUCAAACUCGUCCUGCUCCACGACUUCCUCCAACUGUGGAAAUAAUUGAGAAGGAACAAAAUUGGGAAGAGAAGACCUUACCUAUUGAUACAGACAUUCAGAAUUCAAGUGAAGAGAAUCGUCUCUUCACUCAGAGAUGGAGAGUCUCUCACAUGGGAGAAGAUUUGGAGAACAAAACUCAGGCUCCUUUUGUUAACCUCUCACAGCCCCUCUGCAAUUCCCAUUCCAACACUCAACAGUCAAGAAGCCCCACAUUCUCAGAAGAGCUCCCAGUACUGGGAGAUGGGCAGCAGCUGAGAACAAAUGAGUCAUUAAUACAAAGAAAGGACAUAAUGACACGAAUUGCUGAUUUGACAUUGCAGAAUUCAGCUAUCAAGGCACAUAUGAAUAAUAUUAUUGAGCCCAGAGGAGAGCAAGGGGAUGGACUCCGGGAGUUGAACAAACAAGAAAGUGCAAGUGACAUGACUUCUACUUUUCCAGUAGCACAGUCUCUAACACCAGGUAGUAUGGAGGAACGGAUUGCAGAAUUGAAUCGACAAAGUAUGGAGGCUCGUGGAAAACUACUGCAGUUGAUAGAGCAGCAGAAACUUGUUGGUUUGAAUCUUUCUCCACCAAUGUCACCUGUUCAGUUACCUCUCAGAGCAUGGACUGAAGGAGCAAAGAGGACAAUUGAGGUAUCUAUUCCAGGAGCAGAAGCCCCAGAAAGCUCAAAAUGUAGUACUGUCUCUCCCGUCAGCGGGAUAAAUACAAGAAGAUCUUCCGGGGCUACUGGUAAUUCUUGUUCUCCACUAAAUGCCACCUCAGGAAGUGGGAGAUUCACACCUCUUAAUCCAAGAGCAAAGAUUGAGAAACAGAAUGAAGAAGGCUGGUUUGCUCUUUCUACCCAUGUAUCAUAAGUGAAGUCAAGUCUCACUGAGUUUGUUCUUAAUAAUUUAUUACUUCCCUUUCCCUGCUCUGACUUUUAAGUUUUUAUAUCCUUCUUUCAGAUAAAACCUACAAAGAUCCUGUGAAUUAGUACUAAUGAAACAGAGAAAUAAAGCAAUUAUUUUUUGACUUUCUCAAAUAAGUUUUCAACAACCAACUGACCUACAGCUCCCUGUGAAUGAAACUUUGACUGUAGAGAAGUUAAAGUUUUGUAUUUUAAUACUUUCUUAAGUAUUUUAAGGGUUUUUUUUAUUAAUACAUUUUUACCUUUAUCUUUAUUCAGGGUUUUUUGAGGUUUAGUAUAUCUUAGUUGAUCCAUUUAUUUAUUUAUUUUCCUGAAGAACUAAUUUGCUUUGCAUGUAACUUACAAUAAAAUUCCUCUGUGUGAUUAGAGUCUGGCUUUCAGGAAUAUGUAACACCCACUUUUCUUUCUUUUUUCUUGGGAAGUCAUUGCUGUUCAUCACUUUUUCCAUCAAGUGAAAUAUACAGCCUUAAAAACAAUAGGCCUGGGAGUGUUUGUUUAUAUUUGCUUAAGCAGCUGCCUACUAUCUCCCAGGACCCCUCUUAAAAUCGAAGUUAAAACCUCAACAUAGGAACGCCGCGAUCAGGGCUCCGUUGGGCCAUUUUGGAAUAUCAGUGUCAUGAGGCGGAGAAGGCCCGACCAAAGGGCGGAUAGGUACCGGGUUCCCGGAGAGCUGGACGCCGGCCGCGCAUGCGCCCCACGGCCCGCCCUGGUUCCGCCUCCCUGGAAGAGGGGUGGCGUUGUCUCGGUAACCGGAGUAAACGGAGGCCUCCGGCAGACGCUGUGAAGAGAGGAGCCGCGGCGGUCAGUACCUUCGAGGAAAUGAAGGAACCAGAUGAUCAGGAUACUGAUGGGGAGAAAUCAGUUACAUCAAAGAGUGAUGGGAAGAAGUCUCUGAGGUCUUCUAAAUCAGAAUCAAGAUCUCCUGUUCAAGAAGAUAACACAUUUUUAGAAGAUGACACAGAUGAAACAUUUACCAAAGGGGAAGGAUCAUAUUUAGAAGAAGACUCAGAUGAGGAACGUUUGGAAGGAAGUUUGAGUUCAUUUCAGUAUGGUGAUUUGCAAAGCACUACAGUACCUCAGCAAACCCCUGCUCCAGCUGUGGAAGAAGCAGAGGAGGAAGUUAAGAAGAAAAUAUCAGAGAGCUUCUUCUAUGAUUAUAUGGAGCUUGCUUCGAUGCCUUUUGUGACUCUGGAUUCAAACAUACCACUGGAUCUUCUCACACUUGUGUAUCCACCCUGGCUAAAUAUGUAUAAUUUUGGGAUUUUCAUUUCUUAGGUCAGAGGUCAGCAAACUAUAGCCCAGGGAGCCCAAAUGUGCCUUCCCACCUGUUUUGGUAAAUCAAGUUUUAUUGCAACACAGCCACAUCCAUUUGCUUACAUUUUGUUUAUUAUGGCUGCCAUCACACAACAAGGACAGGGAUAAGUAGUUGUGACAGAGACCAUCUGGCUCACAAGGCAAAAACUAUUUACUACCUUCCCUUUAUAAAAAAAUGUGUGCCAACCCAUAUUAGGUAAUUCUAAGAAGCUUGAAUUCUUAGAGAUUUGAUAGAAAUGCAUGAUCUUAAUUUAAACUAAGCUUUUGUUUGAUGCCAAAUAACCAUACAGAGAAAUAUUUUUUCUGGCUGUCCUUUGCACAAGUGGAAAGGCUGCAGUUCAUGAGAUCUGAGUGAAGGAAAUCAGAAGGCUUCUUCUUCCCAUUUACUUUUGUCAGUGCCUGUCAAGUUACAUAAUCAAUUUCCCUUCUUGAAACACUUAUGUGUCUGUCCAUUGUAAGGCAUUAGUACUUUCACAUUAUAUAUCAGAUGAGCUAUCAGAGAAGACAAUUCUUAGGAAACAGGGCACAAAAUAUAAAGUUUUAAUUGGUUUGGAGAAUAAGAGUCUUUUAAGAUAUGUAGAAACAGGAUGAUUGACAAGGGGAUUUUGUGUUCGUCAUCACAUUAUGAUGUUAGGUUUGCAAUGCGGGUAGUUAGAAAACAGUUUUCAUUGAGGUCCUUAGCUGGCAAUGUACUGUGCUUCCCUUUUGGAUAGUUAGUACUUAUCACCACGUGGCCUAAACCACCAACUGGCCUCUUACAUAAGGAAUACUUACAGAGAUAGGGUGGUGUACUCCCUGACUCAGUUUUGCUUUUUACAUAAAAACAUAAAAAUAGAACAUGUUGUUAAAUCCCAGGUGUAACUAAAUUAAUUCGUGCUGAUUUAUCUUGUAACCUGGAAUUUUCUCUCUUCAUGGCUUUUUUUUUCCUUAUCUUUGGACAAGUUUCUGACAAAAGUUAUGCUGUUUGCUUUCUUUUAGCCUUUUUUUCCCAAAUGGGAUGGGGUGGUAUAUUAGAGUCCCCUGGAAGUUUUUCCUAAAGUACACAAUGCUCUGAUGCCUUCCGGGACCUACUGUGCUAGUUCUUUGUGGAGAGGGACUUGGGAAUAUGUACUCUGAAGAAACUCCGAGUUGGUUUGGCAGUGCACUGCCUUCUCACUGCUCCAGGAUGGGAGGGUCUGUAUUAGACAAAUAUGCCUAAAUUCUAAACAUCAGAGUCAGAAGAACCUUAACUUUUAUUCCAAUAUAUGAAUUAUCUCUAUUCGUGCUGGAUGGGUGGCUGUAUAAACUAUAGCCUUUUCUUAAACAUUUUCAACACCAGGAAAAUCACAAAGUAGCUUACCCCACUUUUGGACGGCUCACUAGAGAGCUUUUUGGGCCUUGAAUAAAAUUCUGCCUUGCUGGGAUGGCCCCCAUUAGAUUUAGUUCUCCUCUCUGCAGAUGGACAUAUAUAAUCUCUAUAUCUUGUGAGGAAUUCUAGGAAGAACAAGUCAGCCAUCAGGUAUUCCCUAAGUACUCUUUUAAUUAACCCUUUAAUGAUUAUUAGUAUAUUAUAUUGAUUCUACUUCAGUUUUUGCUUUUUUGUUUUGUUCUGUUUUGUUUUGAGAUGGAGUCUUGCUCUGUCGUCCAGGCUGGAGUGCAAUGGCACGAUCUCUGCUUACUGCAACCUCCGCCUGCCGGGUUCAAGCAAUUCUCCUGCCUCAGCCUCCCGAGUAGCUGGGACUAUAGGCAUGCACCACCACAUCCAGCUAAUUUUUGUAUUUUUAGUAGAGAUUGGGUUUCACCAUAAUGGCCAGGCUGGUCUCGAACUCCUGACCUCGUGAUCUGCCCGCCUUGGCCUCCCAAAAUGCUGGGAUUACAGGUGUGAGCCACCGCGCCUAGCCCUCUACUUCAGUUUUUAAAUUUAUGUCUUCUAAAUUUUAGCAAUGUUAAAUCAAGUUUAGCCUAAAGCUGCCUCCUUACAUACUUUAAGUUCAGCCUCCAGGUUUCUCUGUACAUGGUGAACUAUAACCUAAAGGGAGUUAGACUCUAGCCUACUCUUGAGCCAGUUACUGAGUUGUGGUCAAAGGUGGCCAACUGUUCAAACUGUGUUAAAAUAAGGCAGAUGCCAAGCUGUAACCAAUUCGGCUAUUUCUGUACCUCACUUUCGUUUUCUGUAUGUCACUUUCCUUUUUCAGUCCAUAAAUCUUCCUGCACGUGGCUGUGCUGGAGUCUCUGGGCCUACUCUGGCUCAGAAGGCUGCCGAAUUCUUGAAUGGUUCUUUGCUCAAUUAAACUCUGUUAAAUUUAA